Molecule: ribosomal RNA, 428 nt
Filed under: uncultured bacterium
Lineage: Bacteria
Description: bacterial SSU rRNA
Rfam family: Bacterial small subunit ribosomal RNA
Source: RNAcentral
UGGGGAAUCUUGCACAAUGCGCGAAAGCGUGAUGCAGCAACGCCGCGUGCGGGAAGACGGCCUUCGGGUUGUAAACCGCUUUCAGUUGGGACGAAGCCUCGUCGGUGAACAGUCGACCGGGGUGACGGUACCUUCAGAAGAAGCCCCGGCUAACUACGUGCCAGCAGCCGCGGUAAUACGUAGGGGGCAAGCGUUGUCCGGAAUCAUUGGGCGUAAAGCGCGUGUAGGCGGCUCGAUAAGUCUGCUGUGAAAGUCCAGGGCUCAACCCUGGGAUGCCGGUGGAUACUGUCGAGCUCGAGUCCGGAAGAGGCGAGUGGAAUUCCUGGUGUAGCGGUGAAAUGCGCAGAUAUCAGGAGGAACACCAAUGGCGAAGGCAGCUCGCUGGGACGGUACUGACGCUGAGACGCGAAAGCGUGGGGAGCAAACAG